CCUACGGGAGGCUGCAGUGGGGAAUAUUGGACAAUGGGGGCAACCCUGAUCCAGCCAUGCCGCGUGUGUGAAGAAGGCCCUCGGGUUGUAAAGCACUUUCAGUGAGGAAGAACGCCUGGUGGUUAAUACCCAUCAGGAAAGACAUCACUCACAGAAGAAGCACCGGCUAACUCCGUGCCAGCAGCCGCGGUAAUACGGAGGGUGCGAGCGUUAAUCGGAAUUACUGGGCGUAAAGCGCGCGUAGGUGGCUUGAUAAGCCGGUUGUGAAAGCCCCGGGCUCAACCUGGGAACGGCAUCCGGAACUGUCAAGCUAGAGUGCAGGAGAGGAAGGUAGAAUUCCCGGUGUAGCGGUGAAAUGCGUAGAGAUCGGGAGGAAUACCAGUGGCGAAGGCGGCCUACUGGACUGACACUGACACUGAGGUGCGAAAGCGUGGGUAGCAAACAGGAUUAGAUACCCUUGUAGUC
RNAcentral lists this ribosomal RNA (465 nucleotides) under Vreelandella stevensii. Its description in RNAcentral is "partial 16S ribosomal RNA". It matches the Rfam family "Bacterial small subunit ribosomal RNA", at positions 338 to 795 of the family's 1533-position model. Lineage: Bacteria; Pseudomonadati; Pseudomonadota; Gammaproteobacteria; Oceanospirillales; Halomonadaceae. The record is from RNAcentral.